RNA transcript from Entelurus aequoreus (snake pipefish), 848 nucleotides. It is a transcript of the gene named baculoviral IAP repeat-containing protein 5-like, with no coding region annotated. The transcript is spliced from 5 exons. Lineage: Eukaryota; Metazoa; Chordata; Actinopteri; Syngnathiformes; Syngnathidae. The record is from RefSeq and is a predicted model, not a curated record.
AUGAAAACAGUCAUAAAGAAGGCUUUCAUAAAUUCGAAAAAGCCUGUGAUUUUGGUGAAGCGUUCAUCUCGGAAGGAUUUCUUUUGAGCAGUUUAAACAUAACAUGGCGGAGUUCGACGACCCAAGUAUUAAAAUGUAUUUUUAUGAGAACAGGCUGAAAACUUUUGAGGGAUGGCCUUUCAAGGAAGACUGCUCGUGUACACCGGAAAAUAUGGCCGAGGCUGGUUUCAUUCACACACCUGCAGACAACAGCCCAGAUUUAGCCAUGUGUUUCUUUUGCCUUAAAGAGUUGGAGGGCUGGGAGCCAGAUGAUAACCCAGACAAAGAGCACAAGUCUCACUCAUCUACAUGCCACUUCAUUGCCUUGAAGAAAAGAGUGGAGGAGAUGACUGUGGAAGAGUUUUUAAAGAUCCAUCGGGAGAAACAAAAGAACAUCAUUCGUGGAUGAAGAGAGACAGGAGAAGGUGGGCCCGCCGCUGACAGCAGUCAUUCCCCCGCCGACAGAAAUCGUCAGCCAAGGCAAAGAGGAUCCACCAGGAGGUGGCGACUUACAGAACGAAACAAUGUGACGAGGCCAUUAAGAAAUUUGCAGAGGCAGCAAAAAAGAAAAGAGCAGAAAUAAUCAAGACAGCCACAUGCAAAUAAAGCAGAGACCGUAAACUACCGGUAUGUUGAUUUGAUGUUCGGAGACCUUGACAACGUUUUUUGCACUUUUAAAAUGUGCUGCCUGGGCUUCCUUACGUGGACCCCCGACUUAAACAACUUGAAAAACAUAUUCGAGUGUUACCAUUUAGUGGUCAAUUGUACGGAAUAUGUACUGAACUGUGCAAUCUGCUAAUAAAAGUUUC